This 449-nucleotide ribosomal RNA is filed under the name uncultured bacterium. Its description in RNAcentral is "partial 16S ribosomal RNA". It matches the Rfam family "Bacterial small subunit ribosomal RNA", at positions 29 to 523 of the family's 1533-position model. The record is from RNAcentral.
AACGAACGCUGGCGGCAUGCCUAACACAUGCAAGUCGAACGAGACCUUCGGGUCUAGUGGCGCACGGGUGCGUAACGCGUGGGAACCUGCCUUUAGGUUCGGAAUAACAGUGAGAAAUUACUGCUAAUACCGGAUAAUGUCCUCGGACCAAAGAUUUAUCGCCUUUAGAUUGGCCCGAGUAAGAUUAGCUAGGUGGUGGGGUAAAGGCCUACCAAGGCGACGAUCCUUAGCUGGUCUGAGAGGAUGAUCAGCCACACUGAGACUGAGACACGGCCCAGACUCCUACGGGAGGCAGCAGUGGGGAAUAUUGGACAAUGGGCGAAAGCCUGAUCCAGCAAUGCCGCGUGAGUGAUGAAGGCCUGAGGGUUGUAAAGCUCUUUUACCAGGGAUGAUAAUGACAGUACCUGGAGAAUAAGCUCCGGCUAACUCCGUGCCAGCAGCCGCAGUAA